ACGCUCGACACCUACGGGAGCAGCAGUGAGGAAUAUUGGUCAAUGGGCGCUAGCCUGAACCAGCCAAGUAGCGUGAAGGAUGAAGGCUCUAUGGGUCGUAAACUUCUUUUAUAUAAGAAUAAAGUGCAGUAUGUAUACUGUUUUGUAUGUAUUAUAUGAAUAAGGAUCGGCUAACUCCGUACCAGCAGCCGCGGUAAUCUGAGCGGGCGUGGCGAAGGC
Molecule: ribosomal RNA, 219 nt
Filed under: uncultured bacterium
Lineage: Bacteria
Description: partial 16S ribosomal RNA
Rfam family: Bacterial small subunit ribosomal RNA
Source: RNAcentral